UCCCUGGUAGUCCAGUGGCUAAGACUCCACAAUCGCAAUGUGGAGGGAUCAGGUUCAAUCUCUGGUCAGGGAA
Molecule: transfer RNA, 73 nt
Filed under: Bos taurus (domestic cattle)
Lineage: Eukaryota; Metazoa; Chordata; Mammalia; Artiodactyla; Bovidae
Also listed under: 5 other names
Source: Rfam by way of RNAcentral